GACGAACGCUGGCGGCGUGCUUAACACAUGCAAGUCGAACGGAAAGGCCCUGCUUUUGUGGGGUGCUCGAGUGGCGAACGGGUGAGUAACACGUGAGUAACCUGCCCUUGACUUUGGGAUAACUUCAGGAAACUGGGGCUAAUACCGGAUAGGAGCUCCUGCUGCAUGGUGGGGGUUGGAAAGUUUCGGCGGUUGGGGAUGGACUCGCGGCUUAUCAGCUUGUUGGUGGGGUAGUGGCUUACCAAGGCUUUGACGGGUAGCCGGCCUGAGAGGGUGACCGGCGACAUGGGGACUGAGAGACGGCCCAGACUCCUACGGGAGGCAGCAGGGGGGAAUAUUGCACAACGGGAGGAAGCCUGAUGCAGCAACGCCGCGUGCGGGAUGACGGCCUUCGGGUUGUAAACCGCUUUCGCCUGUGACGAAGCGUGAGUGACGGUAAUGGGUAAAGAAGCACCGGCUAACUACGUG
This 468-nucleotide ribosomal RNA is filed under the name uncultured bacterium. RNAcentral describes it as "partial 16S ribosomal RNA". It matches the Rfam family "Bacterial small subunit ribosomal RNA", at positions 28 to 507 of the family's 1533-position model. The record is from RNAcentral.